AUUGAACGCUGGCGGCAGGCCUAACACAUGCAAGUCGAGCGGAUGAAGGGAGCUUGCUCCUGGAUUCAGCGGCGGACGGGUGAGUAAUGCCUAGGAAUCUGCCUGGUAGUGGGGGAUAACGUCCGGAAACGGGCGCUAAUACCGCAUACGUCCUGAGGGAGAAAGUGGGGGAUCUUCGGACCUCACGCUAUCAGAUGAGCCUAGGUCGGAUUAGCUAGUUGGUGGGGUAAAGGCCUACCAAGGCGACGAUCCGUUACUGGUCUGAGAGGAUGAUCAGUCAACCCGGAACUGGAGCAAGGGCCCGACCCCCAACGGAAGCCAGAGUUGGGGAUAUUGGGCCAUGGGGCGAAACCUGAUCCAGCCAUGCCGCGUGUGUGAAGAAGGUCUUCGGAUUGUAAAGCACUUUAAGUUGGGAGGAAGGGCAGUAAGUUAAUACCUUGCUGUUUUGACGUUACCAACAGAAUAAGCACCGGCUAACUUCGUG
Molecule: ribosomal RNA, 484 nt
Filed under: uncultured bacterium
Lineage: Bacteria
Description: partial 16S ribosomal RNA
Rfam family: Bacterial small subunit ribosomal RNA
Source: RNAcentral